Molecule: ribosomal RNA, 2907 nt
Filed under: Escherichia coli
Lineage: Bacteria; Pseudomonadati; Pseudomonadota; Gammaproteobacteria; Enterobacterales; Enterobacteriaceae
Description: 23S ribosomal RNA
Rfam family: Bacterial large subunit ribosomal RNA
Source: RNAcentral
GGUUAAGCGACUAAGCGUACACGGUGGAUGCCCUGGCAGUCAGAGGCGAUGAAGGACGUGCUAAUCUGCGAUAAGCGUCGGUAAGGUGAUAUGAACCGUUAUAACCGGCGAUUUCCGAAUGGGGAAACCCAGUGUGAUUCGUCACACUAUCAUUAACUGAAUCCAUAGGUUAAUGAGGCGAACCGGGGGAACUGAAACAUCUAAGUACCCCGAGGAAAAGAAAUCAACCGAGAUUCCCCCAGUAGCGGCGAGCGAACGGGGAGCAGCCCAGAGCCUGAAUCAGUGUGUGUGUUAGUGGAAGCGUCUGGAAAGGCGCGCGAUACAGGGUGACAGCCCCGUACACAAAAAUGCACAUGCUGUGAGCUCGAUGAGUAGGGCGGGACACGUGGUAUCCUGUCUGAAUAUGGGGGGACCAUCCUCCAAGGCUAAAUACUCCUGACUGACCGAUAGUGAACCAGUACCGUGAGGGAAAGGCGAAAAGAACCCCGGCGAGGGGAGUGAAAAAGAACCUGAAACCGUGUACGUACAAGCAGUGGGAGCACAGAGCUUAUCUGUGUGACUGCGUACCUUUUGUAUAAUGGGUCAGCGACUUAUAUUCUGUAGCAAGGUUAACCGAAUAGGGGAGCCGAAGGGAAACCGAGUCUUAACUGGGCGUUAAGUUGCAGGGUAUAGACCCGAAACCCGGUGAUCUAGCCAUGGGCAGGUUGAAGGUUGGGUAACACUAACUGGAGGACCGAACCGACUAAUGUUGAAAAAUUAGCGGAUGACUUGUGGCUGGGGGUGAAAGGCCAAUCAAACCGGGAGAUAGCUGGUUCUCCCCGAAAGCUAUUUAGGUAGCGCCUCGUGAAUUCAUCUCCGGGGGUAGAGCACUGUUUCGGCAAGGGGGUCAUCCCGACUUACCAACCCGAUGCAAACUGCGAAUACCGGAGAAUGUUAUCACGGGAGACACACGGCGGGUGCUAACGUCCGUCGUGAAGAGGGAAACAACCCAGACCGCCAGCUAAGGUCCCAAAGUCAUGGUUAAGUGGGAAACGAUGUGGGAAGGCCCAGACAGCCAGGAUGUUGGCUUAGAAGCAGCCAUCAUUUAAAGAAAGCGUAAUAGCUCACUGGUCGAGUCGGCCUGCGCGGAAGAUGUAACGGGGCUAAACCAUGCACCGAAGCUGCGGCAGCGACGCUUAUGCGUUGUUGGGUAGGGGAGCGUUCUGUAAGCCUGUGAAGGUGUACUGUGAGGUAUGCUGGAGGUAUCAGAAGUGCGAAUGCUGACAUAAGUAACGAUAAAGCGGGUGAAAAGCCCGCUCGCCGGAAGACCAAGGGUUCCUGUCCAACGUUAAUCGGGGCAGGGUGAGUCGACCCCUAAGGCGAGGCCGAAAGGCGUAGUCGAUGGGAAACAGGUUAAUAUUCCUGUACUUGGUGUUACUGCGAAGGGGGGACGGAGAAGGCUAUGUUGGCCGGGCGACGGUUGUCCCGGUUUAAGCGUGUAGGCUGGUUUUCCAGGCAAAUCCGGAAAAUCAAGGCUGAGGCGUGAUGACGAGGCACUACGGUGCUGAAGCAACAAAUGCCCUGCUUCCAGGAAAAGCCUCUAAGCAUCAGGUAACAUCAAAUCGUACCCCAAACCGACACAGGUGGUCAGGUAGAGAAUACCAAGGCGCUUGAGAGAACUCGGGUGAAGGAACUAGGCAAAAUGGUGCCGUAACUUCGGGAGAAGGCACGCUGAUAUGUAGGUGAAGUCCCUCGCGGAUGGAGCUGAAAUCAGUCGAAGAUACCAGCUGGCUGCAACUGUUUAUUAAAAACACAGCACUGUGCAAACACGAAAGUGGACGUAUACGGUGUGACGCCUGCCCGGUGCCGGAAGGUUAAUUGAUGGGGUUAGCGCAAGCGAAGCUCUUGAUCGAAGCCCCGGUAAACGGCGGCCGUAACUAUAACGGUCCUAAGGUAGCGAAAUUCCUUGUCGGGUAAGUUCCGACCUGCACGAAUGGCGUAAUGAUGGCCAGGCUGUCUCCACCCGAGACUCAGUGAAAUUGAACUCGCUGUGAAGAUGCAGUGUACCCGCGGCAAGACGGAAAGACCCCGUGAACCUUUACUAUAGCUUGACACUGAACAUUGAGCCUUGAUGUGUAGGAUAGGUGGGAGGCUUUGAAGUGUGGACGCCAGUCUGCAUGGAGCCGACCUUGAAAUACCACCCUUUAAUGUUUGAUGUUCUAACGUUGACCCGUAAUCCGGGUUGCGGACAGUGUCUGGUGGGUAGUUUGACUGGGGCGGUCUCCUCCUAAAGAGUAACGGAGGAGCACGAAGGUUGGCUAAUCCUGGUCGGACAUCAGGAGGUUAGUGCAAUGGCAUAAGCCAGCUUGACUGCGAGCGUGACGGCGCGAGCAGGUGCGAAAGCAGGUCAUAGUGAUCCGGUGGUUCUGAAUGGAAGGGCCAUCGCUCAACGGAUAAAAGGUACUCCGGGGAUAACAGGCUGAUACCGCCCAAGAGUUCAUAUCGACGGCGGUGUUUGGCACCUCGAUGUCGGCUCAUCACAUCCUGGGGCUGAAGUAGGUCCCAAGGGUAUGGCUGUUCGCCAUUUAAAGUGGUACGCGAGCUGGGUUUAGAACGUCGUGAGACAGUUCGGUCCCUAUCUGCCGUGGGCGCUGGAGAACUGAGGGGGGCUGCUCCUAGUACGAGAGGACCGGAGUGGACGCAUCACUGGUGUUCGGGUUGUCAUGCCAAUGGCACUGCCCGGUAGCUAAAUGCGGAAGAGAUAAGUGCUGAAAGCAUCUAAGCACGAAACUUGCCCCGAGAUGAGUUCUCCCUGACUCCUUGAGAGUCCUGAAGGAACGUUGAAGACGACGACGUUGAUAGGCCGGGUGUGUAAGCGCAGCGAUGCGUUGAGCUAACCGGUACUAAUGAACCGUGAGGCUUAACCUU